GUUAAUUUCACAGAUGGAAUGUUCAGAGGAAUCUACAAUGGCAAGCAACACCAUGUAGCUGAUGUAGCUACGGUGCUAAGCCGGGCUUGGAGCGCUGGUGUUGAUAGAAUAAUUGUGACUGGUGGGUCCCUUGAGGAAUCGAAAGCAGCUCUGGCCAUUGCAGCGACUGAUGGAAGGCUCUUUUGUACAGUUGGGGUCCACCCUACAAGGUGCAA
Molecule: unclassified non-coding RNA, 215 nt
Filed under: Hevea brasiliensis (rubber tree)
Lineage: Eukaryota; Viridiplantae; Streptophyta; Magnoliopsida; Malpighiales; Euphorbiaceae
Source: RNAcentral